RNAcentral lists this ribosomal RNA (165 nucleotides) under Acinetobacter baumannii. RNAcentral describes it as "partial 16S ribosomal RNA". It matches the Rfam family "Bacterial small subunit ribosomal RNA", at positions 1 to 165 of the family's 1533-position model. The record is from RNAcentral. RNAcentral also lists the same sequence under 1 other name. Lineage: Bacteria; Pseudomonadati; Pseudomonadota; Gammaproteobacteria; Moraxellales; Moraxellaceae.
UAACUGAAGAGUUUGAUCAUGGCUCAGAUUGAACGCUGGCGGCAGGCUUAACACAUGCAAGUCGAGCGGGGGAAGGUAGCUUGCUACUGGACCUAGCGGCGGACGGGUGAGUAAUGCUUAGGAAUCUGCCUAUUAGUGGGGGACAACAUCUCGAAAGGGAUGCUA